UACGGAGGGGCUAGCGUUGUUCGGAAUUACUGGGCGUAAAGCGCGCGUAGGCGGACCUGCAAGUCGGGGGUGAAAGCCCGAGGCUCAACCUCGGAACUGCCUUCGAUACUGCGGGUCUCGAGUCCGGGAGAGGUGAGUGGAAUUCCUAAGUGUAGAGGUGAAAUUCGUAGAUAUUAGGAAGAACACCAGUGGCGAAGGCGGCGAAUCUGGGAACAUACUGACGCUGAG
This 228-nucleotide ribosomal RNA is filed under the name uncultured bacterium. RNAcentral describes it as "partial 16S ribosomal RNA". It matches the Rfam family "Bacterial small subunit ribosomal RNA", at positions 524 to 750 of the family's 1533-position model. The record is from RNAcentral.